AUGAAGAGGCAUGGUGGUGGGAGCCAUACGGCCUGCAGCCUCCUCUUGCUCGUCGCCGUCUUCCUGGUCAUCUCCUUCCAGUGCUUACUGAGACACUCCAGUCUCGGAGGCCAGACCCUCCGCGGCACCACGACAGCUGGGCCGGCUGAGGGUGUACUAGGACAUGACGCUGACGCCACGCUCAUGGAGCUCGCGGCCGUCGACCCGGCGGCGACGGCCGUGCUGCAGGCGGCCAAGAAGCUGCUCGAGGGCAACAUGUCGAGAGCUCCGGAGGAGCACCGCGACGUCGCGGUACGCGGGCUGCGGGACUGGCUACGAAGGCAGCGGUUCGACCCCGGCGUCAUGUCCGAGCUCGUGGACCUCAUCAAGAGCCCCAUCGACCGGCACAGCGGGCGGGACGCCGAUGGCGGGAAGUACGCGUCGUGCGCUGUGGUCGGCAACAGCGGCAUCCUUCUGACGUCAGAGCGCGGCGACAACAUCGACGGCCACGAGCUCGUGAUCCGGAUCAACAACGCGCCGGCGGGCAACGCAGGGAACGCGCGCUACGUUGGCGCCAGGACCGGGCUGGCGUUCCUCAACAGCAACGUAAUGAGCCGGUGGUGCGCCGGGGGCAGCAGAGCCUGCUACUGCCGCGCCUACGGGGACGCCGUGCCCAUCCUGACGUACAUGUGCAGCGGCGCGCACUUCGUGGAGCACGCCGCGUGCAACGCGUCUUCCUCCGGCGCCGCGCCGGUGAUCGUGACGGACCCGCGGCUGGACGCGCUGUGCGCGCGUCUCGUCAAGUACUACUCGCUGCGGCGAUUCGUGCGGGAGACGGGGCGGCCGGCCGACGAAUGGGGGCGGGCGCACGGGGAGGGCAUGUUUCACUACUCGUCGGGGAUGCAGGCGGUGGUGGCCGCGGCCGGCGUGUGCGAGCGGGUGUCGGUGUUCGGGUUCGGCAAGGACGCAGCGGCCCGGCACCACUACCACACGCUGCAGAAGCGGGAGCUGGAACUGCACGACUAUGAGGCGGAGUACGAGUUCUACCGGGACCUCGAGGCCCGGCCGGAGGGGGUCCCGUUCUUGCGGGAAUCUGGGUUUAGGUUGCCGCCCGUGGUGUUCUACCGGUGA
Molecule: ribosomal RNA, 1110 nt
Filed under: Triticum aestivum (bread wheat)
Lineage: Eukaryota; Viridiplantae; Streptophyta; Magnoliopsida; Poales; Poaceae
Description: partial small subunit ribosomal RNA
Source: RNAcentral